GAGGAAAGAGGGAGGCGUGCCUAAUACAUGCCAGUCGAGCGAACGGACGAGAAGCUUGCUUUUCUGAUGUUAGCGGCGGACGGGUGAGUAACACGUGGAUAACCUACCUAUAAGACUGGGAUAACUUCGGGAAACCGGAGCUAAUACCGGAUAAUAUUUUGAACCGCAUGGUUCAAAAGUGAAAGACGGUCUUGCUGUCACUUAUAGAUGGAUCCGCGCUGCAUUAGCUAGUUGGUAAGGUAACGGCUUACCAAGGCAACGAUGCAUAGCCGACCUGAGAGGGUGAUCGGCCACACUGGAACUGAGACACGGUCCAGACUCCUACGGGAGGCAGCAGUAGGGAAUCUUCCGCAAUGGGCGAAAGCCUGACGGAGCAACGCCGCGUGAGUGAUGAAGGUCUUCGGAUCGUAAAACUCUGUUAUUAGGGAAGAACAUAUGUGUAAGUAACUGUGCACAUCUUGACGGUACCUAAUCAGAAAGCCACGGCUAACUACGUG
Molecule: ribosomal RNA, 497 nt
Filed under: uncultured bacterium
Lineage: Bacteria
Description: partial 16S ribosomal RNA
Rfam family: Bacterial small subunit ribosomal RNA
Source: RNAcentral